CGAUGUCGGCUCGUCACAUCCUGGGGCUGGAGAAGGUCCCAAGGGUUGGGCUGUUCGCCCAUUAAAGUGGCACGCGAGCUGGGUUCAGAACGUCGCAAGACAGUUCGGUCCCUAUCUAUUGCGGGCGCUAGAAAUUUGAGGAGAGCUGAUUCUAGUACGAGAGGACCGAAUCGGACGAACCUCUGGUGUACCUGUUGUGGCGCCAGCUGCACCGCAGGGUAGCUAUGUUCGGAAGGGAUAAGCGCUGAAAGCAUCUAAGCGCGAAGCCCACUCCAAGAUGAGAUUUCUUUUAAGGGCCGUUCGAGAUUAGGACGUCGAUAGGCUGCAGGUGUAAAGGUGGUAACAUCAAAGCCGAGCAGUACUAAUUACCCGUAUGCUUUCUUUUUUUUAUUUU
RNAcentral lists this ribosomal RNA (394 nucleotides) under Chitinophagales bacterium. RNAcentral's name for it is "partial 23S ribosomal RNA". It matches the Rfam family "Bacterial large subunit ribosomal RNA", at positions 2527 to 2925 of the family's 2925-position model. Lineage: Bacteria; Pseudomonadati; Bacteroidota; Chitinophagia; Chitinophagales. The record is from RNAcentral.